UACGAAGGGCGCUAGCGUUGUUCGGAAUCACUGGGCGUAAAGCGCACGUAGGCGGACUCUUAAGUCGGUGGUGAAAUCCUGGAGCUCAACUCCAGAACUGCCUUCGAUACUGAGAGUCUCGAGUCCGGGAGAGGUGAGUGGAACUGCGAGUGUAGAGGUGAAAUUCGUAGAUAUUCGCAAGAACACCAGUGGCGAAGGCGGCUCACUGGCCCGGUACUGACGCUGAGGUGCGAAAGCGUGGGGAGCAAACAGG
RNAcentral lists this ribosomal RNA (253 nucleotides) under uncultured bacterium. Its description in RNAcentral is "partial 16S ribosomal RNA". It matches the Rfam family "Bacterial small subunit ribosomal RNA", at positions 524 to 776 of the family's 1533-position model. The record is from RNAcentral.